GAGAUAUCCAAUUUCACAUAUUACAGCACAGUGCUUACAUCUGUCAAGAUUAGAGCACAGUGCCUAUAAUCUAUUAACCUAUUAAAGGAGGAAGGAAAAAAAAAUAGUUUACAGUUUCUGUUUCUUUAAAUUUUUAAUGAACUCUUCCACAAUAGAUAAAUGUAAUUGGAACUGUUUUAGGUGUAAGUUACUGUGAUUGCCAAAUAGUCUUGAGAUACUCCAUUUGGUUUGGUCCUCACUGUAUAAUUAGAACUUGCAUGUUUGUGCUAUACAUGAUUUACAUUGCAUAGAUUUACAAGUCAAUUUGAUUAUUGAGAAAUUGGAUUUAGGUUAAUUAAAUGAUUUACUUAUAAAGUUAACCACAUGAUUGGAGGUGUCUUCUCUAUACCUAUCAUUUAUCAUUUGUCAAAUGUCUUUAGUUUUUACUUUCAUGUACUUAAUUUUUUUGGCUUUUUCUAAUCAUUUAUG
RNAcentral lists this long non-coding RNA (468 nucleotides) under Manihot esculenta (cassava). RNAcentral's name for it is "long non-coding RNA (MESC_LNC002203)". Lineage: Eukaryota; Viridiplantae; Streptophyta; Magnoliopsida; Malpighiales; Euphorbiaceae. The record is from RNAcentral.